RNAcentral lists this ribosomal RNA (388 nucleotides) under uncultured bacterium. RNAcentral describes it as "bacterial SSU rRNA". It matches the Rfam family "Bacterial small subunit ribosomal RNA", at positions 28 to 417 of the family's 1533-position model. The record is from RNAcentral.
GACGAACGCUGGCGGCGUGCUUAACACAUGCAAGUCGAGCGGUAAGGCCCUUUCGGGGGUACACGAGCGGCGAACGGGUGAGUAACACGUGGGUGACCUGCCCUCAGCUCUGGGAUAAGCCUGGGAAACCGGGUCUAAUACUGGAUAUGACUCCAUGACGCAUGUUGUGGGGUGGAAAGCCUUGUGCGGCUGAGGAUGGGCCCGCGGCCUAUCAGCUUGUUGGUGGGGUGANGGCCUACCAAGGCGACGACGGGUAGCCGGCCUGAGAGGGCGACCGGCCACACUGGGACUGAGACACGGCCCAGACUCCUACGGGAGGCAGCAGUGGGGAAUCUUGCGUAAUGGGCGAAAGCCUGACGCAGCGACGCCGCGUGAGGGAUGACGGCCU